AACGCGUAUGGAACCUGCCCCUGUCAGGGGAAUAGCCCAGGGAAACUUGGAUUAAUGCCCCAUGGUACCGCGAUAUCGCAUGAUAUUGCGGUUAAAGAUUUAUCGGACAGGGAUGGCCAUGCGUACCAUUAGUUAGUUGGUGGGGUAACGGCCCACCAAGGCAGCGAUGGUUAGGGGCCCUGAGAGGGGGAUCCCCCACACUGGUACUGAGACACGGACCAGACUCCUACGGGAGGCAGCAGUGAGGAAUAUUGGACAAUGGGCGGGAGCCUGAUCCAGCCAUGCCGCGUGCAGGAUGACGGCCCUAUGGGUUGUAAACUGCUUUUAUACGGGAAGAAACGCACCUACGUGUAGGUGUCUGACGGUACCGUAAGAAUAAGGACCGGCUAACUCCGUGCCAGCAGCCGCGGUAAUACGGAGGGUCCGAGCGUUAUCCGGAAUCAUUGGGUUUAAAGGGUCCGUAGGCGGGCCUGUAAGUCAGGGGUGAAAGUUUGUGGCUCAACCAUAAAAUUGCCUUUGAUACUGCAGGUCUUGAGUCAUGGUGGGGUCGCCGGAACAUGUGGUGUAGCGGUGAAAUGCAUAGAUAUCACAUAGAACACCGAUCGCGAAGGCAGGUGGCCAACCAUGUACUGACGCUGAUGGACGAAAGCGUGGGUAGCGAACGGGAUUAGAUACCCCGGUAGUCCACGCCGUAAACGAUGGAUACUAGCUGUGGGGACUUCGGUCUCCGUGGCCAAGCGAAAGUGAUAAGUAUCCCACCUGGGGAGUACGUUCGCAAGAAUGAAACU
Molecule: ribosomal RNA, 788 nt
Filed under: Allomuricauda sp. MAR_2009_44
Lineage: Bacteria; Pseudomonadati; Bacteroidota; Flavobacteriia; Flavobacteriales; Flavobacteriaceae
Description: bacterial SSU rRNA
Rfam family: Bacterial small subunit ribosomal RNA
Source: RNAcentral